Molecule: ribosomal RNA, 550 nt
Filed under: uncultured eukaryote
Lineage: Eukaryota
Description: bacterial SSU rRNA
Rfam family: Eukaryotic small subunit ribosomal RNA
Source: RNAcentral
CUGGUUGAUCCUGCCAGUAGUCAUAUGCUUGUCUCAAAGAUUAAGCCAUGCAUGUCUCAGUAUAAGUCUUUAUAUGGCAAAACUGCGAAUGGCUCAUUAAAACAGUUAUAGUCUACAUGGUGUUUGCUUCUAUAUGGAUAACUGUGCUAAUUGUAGAGCUAAUACAUGCGUCAAAGCCCGACUUCGCAGAAGGGUUGUAUUUAUUAGAUACAGAACCAAUCCCGCAAGGGUUUUUGGAUGAUUCACAAUAAAUGAAUGAAGCGCAUGGCUCCGGCCGGCGCUGUAUCAUUCGAGUUUCUGACCUAUCAGUUGGUCGGUGGGGUAUUGGCCCACCGUGACAGUGACGGGUAACGGAGAAUUAGGGUUCGAUUCCGGAGAGGGAGCCCGAGAAACGGCUACCGCAUCUAAGGAAGGCAGCAGGCGCGCAAAUUACCCAAUGCCGACACGGCGAGGUAGUGACAAGAAAUAACAAUGCAAGCCCGCUGGGUUAUUGUACUUGGAAUGAGUAGAAUUUAAAUCCCUUUACGAAUCAAUUGGAGGGCAAGUCUGG